AUUGAACGCUGGCGGCAUGCCUUACACAUGCAAGUCGAACGGCAGCACGGGGCAACCUGGUGGCGAGUGGCGAACGGGUGAGUAAUGCAUCGGAACGUGCCAUUGAGUGGGGGAUAACGUAGCGAAAGUUGCGCUAAUACCGCAUAUUCUGUGAGCAGGAAAGCAGGGGACCGCAAGGCCUUGCGCUCUUUGAGCGGCCGAUGUCAGAUUAGCUAGUUGGUGAGGUAACGGCUUACCAAGGCGACGAUCUGUAGCGGGUCUGAGAGGAUGAUCCGCCACACUGGAACUGAGACACGGUCCAGACUCCUACGGGAGGCAGCAGUGGGGAAUUUUGGACAAUGGGCGCAAGCCUGAUCCAGCCAUGCCGCGUGAGUGAAGAAGGCCUGGUUGUAAGACUCUUCGUCCGGAGAGAUCGCA
Molecule: ribosomal RNA, 417 nt
Filed under: uncultured bacterium
Lineage: Bacteria
Description: bacterial SSU rRNA
Rfam family: Bacterial small subunit ribosomal RNA
Source: RNAcentral